AUUGUCCUAGUCAUCAAAGAAAAAUAAUGGAUUAUGAAUGGCGUGCUUUAUCCUUGAGGGUGCUUUCUCAAACUGCCAUACCCAGAUGUAAAGGCAGUAGAUGGCUACCACAACCCUGUAAAGGCAGGACCACAAGGGAUCAUACCCUUCAGGUUGCCCCAUUGAGCAAAUCACCCCAACCAACUGAUAUGCUAACUGAAGUCACAGGGAACUAUGGAAUGGGCCAAGAAGGAAGCUUCAAUACCAGCUACAGUAAAGAGGACUGUUGCAUUUAUUGUUUGUUUGUUUUGCUUGCUACUAGUGUUCCUCUCUUGCACACCAAGCCCUUUCUUUGCCUUUUUAAAACGGAAUGCUAUAAUACAUAAAUUUCCCUUCUUUUUCUGUCCUUUUGCCAGAAAAAGGCCUACAUUGCAAUAUAUGAAGGUAGGAUUAUAGUAGAAAAUGAGGAAUGGCUAUCAUGUAGAAAUUCUGUACUUAAAGGACAGAACAUCAACUCUAAGUGAAGUAAAAUGUCACAGUUUUGGGUUUUCUCCCAUUCAGAAGGUUAAUACAUGAAAUAACCUUUUGUGGUGGUACGUGAAAUAACUGAAUUGCACAGUGGAGAGGAAUGGCUGUGGAAGAAGGAAGCCCUUUUAUGGGUCACAUAUGCACAAGUGACCAUGUCCUAGUGUGACCAGCUACUCUGGUUUGCUAAAGGCUGAGGGGGAUACCAGGAUGCUGGACUCUUCGGUGCUUAAACUGGGAUAGUUUUGGGAAAACUGAGACAAGUCGGUUGCGCUAUUAUGCCCCCUGUCUACAUAACAGAUUAAUUCAGAUGAGGGCAUAUCCUAAACCAGACCAUUUAGACUCUUUGCCCUAGAAAUUUUAAAUGAGGCAGAAACACAAAGAGAAUAUAGUUACUCAUUAGAACUGAGUCACACAAAUGGCACUUCCUUAUAGAAAAGAUCUAUUAACACCCUUUGCCAAAGACCCAGGACCUGCCCUGUUUCCUUUGGUUACAGGAGAUAUCCCUGUAUAAUUCCAAAACUUUUUCUUUUUUGGCUAGUCAAAGACGAUUGCUGUUGCUUGCAACCAAAAUAAUCUUAAGGAGGGUAUUUAUGUCCAAUCCCUAUAUAAGGUAAUGUGCUCCGAGAGCCCCUUCUGAAUGGGCACUGAGCUAAAUGAAGCAUACUCAUUGCCACAGCAAACAAGACCAGGUAUGAACACUAAACUCAAACAGGCCUAGAAAGUCUCACAUGCAUGGAUUUUGCAAUGCGCUUACAGGACUCCACUCUUGCAUGCUUAAUUAAAAUGUUGUCUAAACCUAGAAUUAGGUUAGGCAUGAGUAAGUUGUUCAAAACUGAUGGGAAAAAGGGGAGAGCAACAGGAAUGAUGAAAAGGAAAUCAAGAUAAGCAGAGAAAGAUGGAAAAAGAGAAGACUUAUCUGAGAG
This is a long non-coding RNA of Cebus imitator (Panamanian white-faced capuchin), 1430 nucleotides long. RefSeq lists it as uncharacterized. The record is from RefSeq and is a predicted model, not a curated record. NCBI's taxonomy places the organism in Eukaryota, Metazoa, Chordata, Mammalia, Primates, Cebidae. The transcript is spliced from 2 exons.